This is an unclassified non-coding RNA of Bison bison bison, 69 nucleotides long. NCBI's taxonomy places the organism in Eukaryota, Metazoa, Chordata, Mammalia, Artiodactyla, Bovidae. The record is from Ensembl.
AAAGCCUGACAGGUUUCUCCGGGAAAGUGACCAUCCAUGGAAUGAAUGAAAUGUUCCCUUUCUAUUCCU